This 462-nucleotide ribosomal RNA is filed under the name uncultured bacterium. RNAcentral describes it as "partial 16S ribosomal RNA". It matches the Rfam family "Bacterial small subunit ribosomal RNA", at positions 339 to 795 of the family's 1533-position model. The record is from RNAcentral.
CUACGGGGCUGCAGUGAGGAAUUUUGCGCAAUGGGGGAAACCCUGACGCAGCAACGCCGCGUGAGUGAAGAAGGCUUUCGGGUCGUAAAGCUCUGUCAGAUAGGAAAAAAGUUCAUAUGUAAAUAGCUUAUGAAUCUGAUGGUACUAUCAGAGGAAGCACCGGCUAACUCCGUGCCAGCUGCCGCGGUAAUACGGAGGGUGCAAGCGUUGUUCGGAAUUACUGGGCGUAAAGGGCGUGUAGGCGGUAUGGUAAGUCAGAUGUGAAAGCCCUGGGCUUAACUCAGGAAGUGCAUUUGAUACUGCCAUCCUUACGUAUGGGAGAGGAGAGUAGAAUUCCCAGUGUAGAGGUGAAAUUCGUAGAUAUUGGGAGGAAUACCCGUGGCGAAGGCGACUCUCUGGACCAAUACUGACGCUGAGACGCGAAAGCGUGGGGAGCAAACAGGAUUAGAUACCCCCGUAGUC